CCUACGGGUGGCAGCAGUGGGGAAUAUUGGGCAAUGGGCGCAAGCCUGACCCAGCAACGCCGCGUGAAGGAAGAAGGCUUUCGGGUUGUAAACCUCUGUUAAGAGGGAAGAGCAUAAGACGAUACCUCUUGAAUACGCCAGGGCUAACUGCGCGCGAGCAGCCGGGGUAACGCGUAGGGGGCAAGCGUUGUCCGGAUUCACUGGGUGGAGAGGGCGUGGAGGCGGGAAGACAAGUGAGAUGUGAAAUCGCGCGGCUCAACCGCGGAACUGCAUUUGAAACUGUUAUUCUUGAGUACAGGAGAGGUGAGCGGAAUUCCUUGUGUAGCGGUGAAAUGCGUAGAUAUAAGGAAGAACACCAGUGGCGAAGGCGGAUGACUGGACUGCAACUGACGGUGAGGCGCGAAAGCGUGGGGAGCAAACAGGAUUAGAUACCCCGGUAGUC
This 442-nucleotide ribosomal RNA is filed under the name uncultured bacterium. Its description in RNAcentral is "partial 16S ribosomal RNA". It matches the Rfam family "Bacterial small subunit ribosomal RNA", at positions 338 to 795 of the family's 1533-position model. The record is from RNAcentral.